RNAcentral lists this ribosomal RNA (431 nucleotides) under uncultured bacterium. RNAcentral describes it as "partial 16S ribosomal RNA". It matches the Rfam family "Bacterial small subunit ribosomal RNA", at positions 29 to 507 of the family's 1533-position model. The record is from RNAcentral.
AACGAACGCUGGCGGCAGGCUUAACACAUGCAAGUCGAACGCCCCGCCAGGGGAGUGGCAGACGGGUGAGUAACGCGUGGGAACAUACCCUUUUCUACGGAAUAGCUCUGGGAAACUGGAAUUAAUACCGUAUACGCCCUACGGGGGAAAGAUUUAUCGGGGAAGGAUUGGCCCGCGUUGGAUUAGCUAGUUGGUGGGGUAAAGGCCUGCCAAGGCGACGAUCCAUAGCUGGUCUGAGAGGAUGAUCAGCCACAUUGGGACUGAGACACGGCCCAAACUCCUACGGGAGGCAGCAGUGGGGAAUAUUGGACAAUGGGCGCAAGCCUGAUCCAGCCAUGCCGCGUGAGUGAUGAAGGCCUUAGGGUUGUAAAGCUCUUUCACCGAUGAAGAUAAUGACGGUAGUCGGAGAAGAAGCCCCGGCUAACUUCGUG